GAGGUCUUGCCUGCCCAGUGACAAUGUUAAACGGCCGCGGUAUUUUGACCGUGCGAAGGUAGCGCAAUCACUUGUCUUUUAAAUGAAGACCUGUAUGAAUGGUGAAACGAGGGCUUAACUGUCUCCCUUUUCUAGUCAAUGAAAUUGAUCUGCCCGUGCAGAAGCGGACAUAAAAAUACAAGACGAGAAGACCCUUUGGAGCUUAAGAUAUAAAGAUCAUCUAUGUCAAUGGGCCCCAGCACGGCAACAAACUAAAUAGCAACUGAUCUUAAUCUUCAGUUGGGGCGACCACGGGAGAAAAUAAAGCUCCCACGCGGAAUGGGGUAAACCCUAAAACCAAGAAAAACAUUUCUAAGCAACAGAACUUCUGACCAUUAAGAUCCGGCUACACGCCGACCAACGGACCAAGUUACCCUAGGGAUAACAGCGCAAUCCCCUUUCAGAGUCCAUAUCGACAAGGGGGUUUACGACCUCGAUGUUGGAUCAGGACAUCCUAAUGGUGCAGCCGCUAUUAAGGGUUCGUUUGUUCAACGAUUAAAGUCCUACGUGAUCUGAGUUCAGACCGG
This 566-nucleotide ribosomal RNA is filed under the name Glyptothorax ventrolineatus. Its description in RNAcentral is "partial 16S ribosomal RNA". It matches the Rfam family "Bacterial large subunit ribosomal RNA", at positions 1849 to 2619 of the family's 2925-position model. Lineage: Eukaryota; Metazoa; Chordata; Actinopteri; Siluriformes; Sisoridae. The record is from RNAcentral.